Molecule: transfer RNA, 85 nt
Filed under: Felis catus (domestic cat)
Lineage: Eukaryota; Metazoa; Chordata; Mammalia; Carnivora; Felidae
Also listed under: 2 other names
Rfam family: tRNA
About the family: Transfer RNA (tRNA) molecules are approximately 80 nucleotides in length. Their secondary structure includes four short double-helical elements and three loops (D, anti-codon, and T loops).
Source: Rfam by way of RNAcentral
GCCUGGGUGGCUCAGUCGGUUAAGCUUCUGACUUCGGCUCAGGUCAUGAUCUCGCGGUUUGUGGGUUCAAGCCCCGCGUUGGGCU